GUAGGUGGCAAGCGUUGUCCGGAAUUAUUGGGCGUAAGCGCGCGCAGGCGGUUCUUUAAGUCUGAUGUGAAAGCCCACGGCUCAACCGUGGAGGGUCAUUGGAAACUGGAGAACUUGAGUACAGAAGAGGAAAGCGGAAUUCCACGUGUAGCGGUGAAAUGCGUAGAGAUGUGGAGGAACACCAGUGGCGAAGGCGGCUUUCUGGUCUGUAACUGACGCUGAGGCGCGAAAGCGUGGGGAGCAAACAGGGAUUAGAUACCCUGGUAGUCCACGCCGUAAACGAUGAGUGCUAAGUGUUAGGGGGGUUUCCGCCCCCUUAGUGCUGCAGCUAACGCAUUAAGCACUCCGCCUGGGGAGUACGGCCGCAGGCUG
RNAcentral lists this ribosomal RNA (372 nucleotides) under uncultured organism. RNAcentral describes it as "partial 16S ribosomal RNA". It matches the Rfam family "Bacterial small subunit ribosomal RNA", at positions 527 to 896 of the family's 1533-position model. The record is from RNAcentral.